RNAcentral lists this unclassified non-coding RNA (294 nucleotides) under uncultured Phoma. RNAcentral's name for it is "sequence contains ITS1". The stretch from base 1 to 105 matches the Rfam family "5.8S ribosomal RNA", at positions 50 to 154 of the family's 154-position model. Lineage: Eukaryota; Fungi; Ascomycota. The record is from RNAcentral.
GAAAUGCGAUAAGUAAUGUGAAUUGCAGAAUUCAGUGAAUCAUCGAAUCUUUGAACGCACAUUGCGCCCCUUGGUAUUCCAUGGGGCAUGCCUGUUCGAGCGUCAUUUUGUACCCUCAAGCACUGCUUGGUGUUGGGCGCUUGUCCUGCAAAGGACUCGCCUGAAAGCGAUUGGCGGCCAACGUACUGGUGGUAGAGCGCAGCACAAUUUGCGUUUUUCCCCUCUGCGUUAGCGUCCAUGAAGCCUAUUUCAACGUUUGACCUCGGAUCAGGUAGGGAUACCCGCUGAACUUAA